UUGGGGAAGUUAUGGGAGGCUGG
Molecule: non-coding RNA, 23 nt
Filed under: Cricetulus griseus (Chinese hamster)
Lineage: Eukaryota; Metazoa; Chordata; Mammalia; Rodentia; Cricetidae
Source: RNAcentral